UCCCCAUAAAUUGACAGGAAUAGGUGUA
This 28-nucleotide non-coding RNA is filed under the name Homo sapiens (human). Lineage: Eukaryota; Metazoa; Chordata; Mammalia; Primates; Hominidae. The record is from RNAcentral.